Molecule: ribosomal RNA, 216 nt
Filed under: Glomeromycotina sp.
Lineage: Eukaryota; Fungi; Glomeromycota
Description: partial small subunit ribosomal RNA
Rfam family: Eukaryotic small subunit ribosomal RNA (bases 40-216)
Source: RNAcentral
GGGUCAGUAGGUUGGUCGUGCCACCGGUACGGACUGGCCUCACUGAUUCCUCCUUCCUGAAGAACCGUAAUGCCAUUAAUUUGGUGUUGCGGGGAAACAGGACUGUUACUUUGAAAAAAUUAGAGUGUUUAAAGCAAGCUAACGCUUGAAUACAUUAGCAUGGAAUAAUGAAAUAGGACGAUCGAUCCUAUUUUGUUGGUUUCUAGGAUUGACGUA